Molecule: long non-coding RNA, 1502 nt
Filed under: Phasianus colchicus (ring-necked pheasant)
Lineage: Eukaryota; Metazoa; Chordata; Aves; Galliformes; Phasianidae
Description: lncRNA (ENSPCLG00000013630.1)
Source: RNAcentral
GGAAAAUUGAAGAAAAUGCGGGAAAUCAGGGGAAAUAAUCGGGGAAAAUGGGGAAAAAUGGAGGAAAUGGGGGAAAAUGGGGAAAAUAAAGGGGGAAAAAAGGGGAAACUGGGAGGAAUAAUGCGGGAAAAUGGGGAAAUUGGGGGAAAAUGAGGAAAAUAAUGGGGGAAAAUGGGGGUAAUUGGGGAAAAAGUGUGGUAAAUAAUGGGGGAAAUGGGGAAAAUAGGGGAAAUAAUGGGGAAAAUGGGGGAAAAUGGGGAAAAUUGGGGGAAAAUGGGGGAAAUGAGGAAAAUAAUGGGGGAAAAUGGGGAAAAUGGGGGAAAAAUGGGAAAAUUGGGGAAAAAAUGGGGGAAAAUUGAGGAAAGUAUGGGGAAGUUGGGAAAAUAACGGUGUAAAAUAAGGAAAAAUGGGGAAAAAUCAGGAAAAAUCAGGAAAAAUUCUUGUAAAAUAGGGAGAAAUUGAGGAAAAAACAGGAAAUUGGGGAAAAUAAUGGUGUAAAAUAGGAGAAAAUCAGGAAAAAUCAGGAAAAUAGCUGGAAAUGGGGAUAAAUGGGGGGAAAAUGGGGGAAAAUUGAGGAAAGUAUGGGGAAGUUGGGAAAAGAACGGUGUAAAAUAAGGAAAAAUGGGGAAAAAUCAGGAAAAAAUUGGGAAAAUUGGGGGAAAAUUGAGGAAAUUGGGAAAAUAAUGGCGUAAAAUGGGGUAAAAAAAUCAGGAAAAUUGGGGAAAAUUGGGGGAAAAUUGAGGAAAUUGGGAAAAUGAUGGCAUAAAAUGGGGGAAAAAAUCAGGAAAAUUGGGAAAAUUGGGGGAAAAUUGAGGAAAUUGGGGAAAAUGAUGGCGUAAAAUGGGGGAAAAUCAGGAAAAUUGGGAAAAUUGGGGGAAAAUUGAGGAAAAUGGGGAUAAUAAUGGCGUAAAAUGGGGGAAAAAAUCGGGAAAAUUGGGGAAAAUUGGGGAGAAAAAGUGGAAAAGGGGAAUUCGCUCACCUGUUGGCCUUCCUCCCCCAUGGGGCGCAAUGGAGGAGGAGGAGGAGGAGGAGGAGGAGGAGGAAGGGCAGCCCCAGCCCCACCCCCACCCCCACCCCCAGCCCCACACGGCUGAUUUGGGACUGGCAUCGAUCCCCGGAGGAGAGAAAGCCUGGAAUUUCGGGGCAGCUGUGGGGGGAAAAUGUGGGAGCCCGCUGUGGCAGUCGAUGGCGCUGGGGAAGCCGGGGCUGCAGUCGGUGAUGCAGAGGAAGCUGUUGUUCACCCGACGCGAUCCAUCUGCCAACGACAGCAACGACAGCGGUGACGUCGCGACGUCGUGACGAUGUCGUGACGAUGUCGUGACGACGUCGGGGUCUCACCGUGCGGCGGAAGUGGGAGGCGAAGCCCCGGAAUUGGGGGGACGAAGGGUUCCUCAUUUCCUCCAGGAAGGGACGGUUGGUGACGCGGGCCGACAGCAGGAGGGCGGGACCCAAAUCUUGGGGACGUGAAGGGGGGCGUUGGGGACAUUGGGGACAUUGGGGGC